CUGUUCUUGGCAAUAGCCAGUCUAGCUAGAAAGAGCAAUCUGUCAAGUCUAAUUAGAGUAGAAGAAAGUGAACAAUGAGCGCCCAGCUCUAAAAUGACAGCCCAGUUUAAUGGGGGCAGAGGAGCUUGGGAGGGAUGUAUGCUUUGUGUGCUUGGAAUUGGUUCCUUCAAAUGGAUCCUUUCUGAACUCAAACUGCAGAACAACUUAAACUGGAUCCUUAUUUACUGCACCAGAAAUCUUCAGGUCUCUGUGCUUUUUAACACAUGCACAUCCAGCAAAAGCAGAGGAGAACCUGGCUCUGUUUCAAAGACUCUUACAGGAGUAGAAAGCGGCUCGCGAAAAUUCAGCUGUGGUGCCAUCUGCUGGACGCACCGCGACGCUGCAAAUCCCUGCCGGAGUAGUAGAGGUCGCGUUGGCUGCAGGUGAUGGCCCAGUUUUUUGCCCAAGAAAGUCUCUGGCACCAAGUAUAUGAACACUGUCCCUUGUGUCCAGUAUAAAUAAGGGGAGCUGCGGAGGGAACAGGGUAAGCAAGCU
Long non-coding RNA from Manis pentadactyla (Chinese pangolin), 534 nucleotides. RefSeq lists it as uncharacterized. The record is from RefSeq and is a predicted model, not a curated record. The transcript has 3 exons. Lineage: Eukaryota; Metazoa; Chordata; Mammalia; Pholidota; Manidae.